Molecule: long non-coding RNA, 1362 nt
Filed under: Homo sapiens (human)
Lineage: Eukaryota; Metazoa; Chordata; Mammalia; Primates; Hominidae
Description: HSALNT0058121
Source: RNAcentral
AUUGACAUUAGUCAAGAUGUGGAAUCAAGCUAAGUGUCCAUCAACAGAUGAAAAGAUUUUAAAAAGUGAUAUAUAUGUAUGUGUGUGUAUAUACAUGUAUGUAUGUAUAUGUGUGUCUGUGUAUGUCUCUCUCUCAUAUAUAAUGAAAUAUUAUUCAGUCUUCAAAAAAAAGGAAUGCUUCCAUGCCUUCCACAUGUGACAACAUGGAUAAAUCUAGAGGGCAUUAUGCUAAGUGAAAUGAACCAGAAACAGGAAGACAAAUCCUGCGUGUAUCACUUACAUGUGGAAUCUAAAAAAGUUGAACUCUUUAGGCACCAAUAUUUUUAAAGUAGGAUCAUUUCUCCUAAUAAUAUGAAUUUCCAGUUUUUCCAGAAAGAUAGCAAGAAUUACAAUGCUGGGUCACAAUGGCACGAUAGUCUGAGGCUAAGGCCCACUUCAGAUAAAGCAUGCAUUCUUUGUUUACCUCAGUGUCUGCUCACCACAAUUUAUUCACUGCUAAUACCCUCUUGUUCCCUGCAGGUACAUCUGUGUGUGACACCUAUGUGUGUUUUUCAAAGAGCAAAAGUCUUUAUAACUAUAGGAGCUUAUUGAGAUAAAGAAAACUACAGCUUUUUAAAGACGGUUAUUUCCCUGCUGGGAUUUGGGAAGAUUUCUUCAUGUGAAAUAAGCAGAGGGAAUUUGAACUAAAUAACUCCAUUGCCUACUGAAGAAGCUGCCCAGAAAAGAGAAAGUUUGAUGCCAAGACUCAGAGGGGAUUGGAUCUCACCUUCGGAUCCCCAUUUACUCCACCCUGAUAAGGAGGCCUCUCUGGUCCCUUGGUGCUCCAUUCCUAACUGGCAGUCCGGGGACCCAAUGGUGUGUCCUACAUCUGGUCUUGUGCUCUGUAGUCUCGUCUGUUGGUUGUGUGGUAAGGAUUUGAUUUCAUUUUUAUUCAGCACUCACUUGAUUUCUAAUGCUGGCUUCUUUUUAAAAAAAUAAAAAUAAACCAUUUGACCACUCAUUUGGUGGUCUCCAAUGAAUGGUUUGUAGAGAUUUUGUCUCUGCUGGGUGAAAGAUGACAGAAAAUCUGUUUUUUAAAUCUCUGUGUAUCUAUUAUGAGCUCAAAUCAAGUAAGAAUUCAGACCCACUAGAAAGAGAACAGCUUUUUUAUAUAAAUUUUGUAUUUCUGUUUAUGAUCAACUUAUGAGUAAAAUUUUAGAAGUGAAGUUACAUCUGUGUGUAUAAAGUAUGUUUAUAUGUCUAUAAUUUAUAAAGCCCUUUCCCUCUCACUGGGUGGAAUAUUUUCCUAAUUCCACAUGGUAUUCAUAAGUUAGAUUGCAAACUCUUUUAUAUUAAAGGAAUCCUUUUCUAAUUGGCUUUGAA